Molecule: long non-coding RNA, 981 nt
Organism: Hyla sarda
Lineage: Eukaryota; Metazoa; Chordata; Amphibia; Anura; Hylidae
Exons: 3
Source: RefSeq, a predicted model, not a curated record
ACAACUUGAACCAGGCCCCCUUCCUUCUCUCCAUCUUGCCUGGCCUGGCUGAUACUCAUAAACAGCUGGCUAGACAUCAGGCACUAUGGUCAGAGUUUGCAUCAUCUUCCGAUUCCAGAGACCUUCAUCUCUCAAUCGCACCAGCCCUCACAUAGACCCCUUCUAUCAUCCUAUCACCGAUGGUUGGUCCCGGCGCCUUGGGGUGACGUGUGUGCUCCAUGAGUAAGUUCCCAUCCAGAAGAUCCAAAACAAAUACCGUUCAUCUGAAUAAGAGGAAGCUGUUUAUCGCAAACAUCUUAGGCAUGUAACAAAACUGUGCUAUGCUCCCUGGGGGAAAAUUGUGUGACAAGUAGUGCUGGUCGGAGGAGUAUGAUAUAUUGCAUCCAAUCUGGAGCUGUCAAUCAUAGCAGCAAGUAAGGCACCUAACAAGAAGAGCCUGCCCCCUUGGGCAUAAUUGGUUUCAGGCAGAAGUUGCAUGACCUAAGCACCAGGCAUUAUUACAAAAUAUUCCUAAUGGCUCAGCACUGCUCCCUUUAAAAAAAUGUUACAGUAUUUUUAAGUGGCUAAUGUGCACUAAACAGCAGACAAAAAGACACUGCAGGGAAAGGGGAAUGCGACUAUUGGUCCAGGACAUCCCUCUAAUAAAUGACAUUAUAAAGCAAUGCAGAAUGUAAACAGUUCAUGGCUCCUUACGAUUUCCUACAGUUUUCCAUUGACUGCUCCAUGACUAAUAGUACUUUUACGUCACACCACAAAGAUGUUUAGUAGAUUAGAAUUAUGUUUCCUGGGUAAUAUUAGUCUACUGUAUUACAAAGGAAUUAAACACUGGCAUGUAUUGUUUUUCCUAGACCACCAAUGCACAGAGUGUCUGUUAUGACAAUUCAAGAAGAGUACCUUCUUAGAAAUAUCGCUAGAUCUAUGCAUUUGCUCAACAAUAAACAUACACAGAUAGCUGGAACGAGGGAAAUAGUCUCAUCCUCU